Molecule: long non-coding RNA, 1806 nt
Filed under: Anas platyrhynchos platyrhynchos (common mallard)
Lineage: Eukaryota; Metazoa; Chordata; Aves; Anseriformes; Anatidae
Description: lncRNA (ENSAPLG00000021121.1)
Source: RNAcentral
GCCCUAAUUUAUGUGCCAAGCCCUUAGGAGUUAGAUUCAGUUUGCAAAUUAGGAAAUUUAAGUAUUUUCAUGAGGUUAUCCACAUGAGAGCUGGUGGUCUGAGCUCUCAUUAUAAUCGAUAGACAUCUAGACAGCUGAGUCAGUGAAGUUUAGAAAGCAAUUCACUUCACUUCACUUCACUUCACUUCACUAGACACCUGGAAAACUGGAGGAUUUAGGUGCCUAAAUAUAAACAUCAAAUUCUGUAGGAUAUCCUGCUGUUGUUCCCAAAGUGUUGGGUUUUUCCAUGGAUCCUUCAUCACAGCUAGUAGCAUUCCAUUGAUGUCUUGGAUGUUCUGCACCAGGAACCUCUGUGUGAGCAACUGAACCUACAUGUGAUAAGAUGAAUUCUAUUGACUCUGCUGACUAGAUCUCCACUAACCUUGGCUUGGACACCAGUGGCAAUAUAAGCGCAUCAGACUGAACUGACAAGGGAGAUGUUUAGGUAUGUGGCCAUUCAAGACCUACAGGCCUACAAGGAAGUUGGCUGACGCCCUGAAGAUCUUCAGUCCUGAAACAGUGAUAAGAUGAAGAUCAAACAGCAGUGGCGAAGGUUCAUAUCUGUAAAUGGGAAACAAGUUUCAGCUAAUAGCAGGGGAACAUGGAUUCAAUCCUCCUUUUCAACAGGGAGAUUUGCAUGGAAGCUGGAAGAUAGGAUGCUGCAACUCCUUUUGUCUAAGAAGAUGAAUGUGAUUCGAGAAGCAAUAUUUUUGAAGAGAUUUAGAAACUUUGAGGAGCUACAUGCCGUACUCUGUGCUCCUGACUGAUCUCCAAAGCACAGUUUCCCAGACUUCUGCCCCAAACUCUAAGUCACUACACAGAUACCAGUUUACCUGCUAUCUCAGGAGCAGUAAGAGAGGAAUAAUUUGUUGCUCCUGCCCUCUGUUAUGAUCUCAUUCUAUAUUUCUCAGGUGCCAAACAUACCAGCUAAAUCCUGUAAGGAUAUGUAGAAAGGGAUUAUCUGCAUCUUUAAGGGUGACCGGUCAAGGAGUUUUUUCCGAGGCAACAAAGGAUAAUAAGAAAGGGAAGCAGUGAUUGGAACAAGUCUGAUUAGUCACACUAAUUUAUGAGAGCAUACAAGAAUGUUUAUUUGAGAAAAAUUAUCUGAUUGAGGGCUGGGAGGCAAUCAAAAAAAAAAAAAAACAAACACAAACCUCUCAGCCAAGCUAGUCGGUAGGCUAAAAAUCUACAGAUGCCAUUUCCAGGAAGGAUGAAUCUUGCAGCUGAUAAGAUGUGAACCAAAAGGCCCCAGAGUAAGUUGGUUUGAAGGUUCUUUAAAGCACAGCAAACCCAUGAGGGUUUUGCAGUAGAAAGUGGAAGAAGGAGGAAUGAAGAGGGGAGAUGGGUAGAAAAAUGUACAAAAUGGCUGGUCACAUGUAAAAUGGGGCUGGUCAGUAUGCUUCUCUGUCUGAACUCUCUGCUUCAUCACCACAGUCUGUCCUAUCUUCCAAUAUUUUCUCAUUAAAUCUUUUCUUAACUUUCUCUCUGUGUAUUUAUACCCUUUCCCAUAUGUAUACGAGCUGCAAGAUCUACAUAUCAGCUCCUGGCAAGACCUGUGUGUAUGUGAGUAAAGGUUUGUGCUAAUUGCUGGAGUCAGGCUGGGGCAGCAGGCCUGUGGUACCAGCUGCUGGAGAGACUGGGGGUCCCAGCAAUGGUAGUUGGGGGAGCCAUAGCUUUCUGGAUCUGAAAAGGUUCUAUAGACUUUUAGUGCCAAAGUGCCAGCUGCUGAGGGAACUGCUGAGUGGAAUUUAGUGCCAGAUACUGGAG